UUGGAGGGCAAGUCUGGUGCCAGCAGCCGCGGUAAUUCCAGCUCCAAUAGCGUAUAUUAAAGUUGUUGCAGUUAAAAAGCUCGUAGUUGGAUUUCGGGGUUAGUAGGUUGGUCAUGCCUCUGGUAUGUACUGGUCUUACUGAUUCCUCCUUCCUGAUGAACCUUAAUGCCAUUAAUUUGGUGUUUUGGGGAAUUUGGACUGUUACUUUGAAAAAAUUAGAGUGUUUAAAGCAAGCUAACGCUUGAAUACAUUAGCAUGGAAUAAUGAAAUAGGACGUUCGAUCCUAUUUUGUUGGUUUCUAGGAUUGACGUAAUGAUUAAUAGGGAUAGUUGGGGGCAUUAGUAUUCAAUUGUCAGAGGUGAAAUUCUUGGAUUUAUUGAAGACUAACUACUGCGAAAGCAUUUGCCAAGGAUGUUUUCAUUAAUCAAGAACGAAAGUUAGGGGAUCGAAGACGAUCAGAUACCGUCGUAGUCUUAACCAUAAACUAUGCCGACUAGGGAUCGGAUGAUGUUAAUUUUUUAAUGACUUAUUCGGCGCCUUACGGGAAACCAAAGUGUUUGGGUUC
Molecule: ribosomal RNA, 565 nt
Filed under: uncultured Glomeromycotina
Lineage: Eukaryota; Fungi; Glomeromycota
Description: SSU rRNA
Rfam family: Eukaryotic small subunit ribosomal RNA
Source: RNAcentral